CGGACGUGUCGCUCUUCGCUCCUCGCAAGAAUAUUUUAACCUUUCAGGGGCCCCGUAGGGGCCAAGGGCUCCGUUCCACCGUUCCACCUGUGCCAUUUUCUUCUGCCCUCCAACAGCGCGCCGCAAAGAUCCGCACACCCACGCGGGCCUCAGCUGCGCGUACGCAGACGCCUUUUUAUUUCGUUAGCGGAUUUGCGGAAGGCGAUCGCUCGCCAAGAGGAGCCGAAGAGCGCGGCAAACUUGGAUGGAGGCGCCCCCCUUCCCAACUUGGCCAAUUCCCGCCUUUUACUUUCUCCUCUCCCGUAUCCGCCUUUUUCGUCUCCACGACGCGACGUUUCCUCUUGAUUGGAGGGCCGCAUGUCGUGAGACUCGUCUACGUCGUCUUUGUCGUCGUCGUCGUGGUGGAUUUCGUUCGCGGAUCGUAAUUCACCUGCUACUGGAAAUCGUUAACAACCGGGCAAAAUGAAAGGCGCAGGGACAUCGAGGAAACGUAUCGGUUUGGAUCGGAAACGAAGACGAAGCAGGAAGUAAUUUUUCAUUCCGAUCUUAUUUCUCUUUGAUUUUGAUUCGCGUUUCGUGAAUAUUGUUGAUUAGAGUUUUAGAGCGUACAACAAGAGAAUGUACAUUUAGAAAAGGAAUUGAUUCUGACUGUUUCAAUUUUGCAAUAGAAUCGUAUUUUUAUUCUAGUGGAUGGAAGGAAGCGAUACUUGUAACAUGUUAAGAGGAUACCGAGCUUACAUCGAGAAAUGUACGCUAUUAAAAUUUUAGAUUUUUUUAGAUUUCAAAUUACAGAUGGAAUGUUAGAUAAAAUGGUACACAGGUAUAAUAGAAACGAGAAUUGAACGUGGGCAUAGAUGAAAUCAAUUCGAUUCAAU
Apis laboriosa (Himalayan honeybee) is the source of this 875-nucleotide long non-coding RNA. RefSeq lists it as uncharacterized. The record is from RefSeq and is a predicted model, not a curated record. The transcript is spliced from 3 exons. Lineage: Eukaryota; Metazoa; Arthropoda; Insecta; Hymenoptera; Apidae.